AUUGAACGCUGGUGGCAGGCUUAACACAUGCAAGUCGAACGGUAACAGGAAUUAGCUUGCUAAUUUGCUGACGAGUGGCGGACGGGUGAGUAAUGCUUGGGAAUCUGGCUUAUGGAGGGGGAUAACUACGGGAAACUGUAGCUAAUACCGCGUAAAAUCUUCGGAUUAAAGGGUGGGACUUUCGAGCCACCUGCCAUAAGAUGAGCCCAAGUGGGAUUAGGUAGUUGGUUAGGUAAAGGCUGACCAAGCCGACGAUCUCUAGCUGGUCUGAGAGGAUGACCAGCCACACUGGAACUGAGACACGGUCCAGACUCCUACGGGAGGCAGCAGUGGGGAAUAUUGCACAAUGGGGGGAACCCUGAUGCAGCCAUGCCGCGUGAAUGAAGAAGGCCUUCGGGUUGUAAAGUUCUUUCGGUGACGAGGAAGGUGGAUAGGUUAAUAGCCUAUCAAAUUGACGUUAAUCACAGAAGAAGCACCGGCUAACUCCGUG
This 490-nucleotide ribosomal RNA is filed under the name uncultured bacterium. Its description in RNAcentral is "partial 16S ribosomal RNA". It matches the Rfam family "Bacterial small subunit ribosomal RNA", at positions 30 to 507 of the family's 1533-position model. The record is from RNAcentral.